RNAcentral lists this long non-coding RNA (482 nucleotides) under Musa acuminata (dwarf banana). Its description in RNAcentral is "long non-coding RNA (MACU_LNC011598)". The record is from RNAcentral. Lineage: Eukaryota; Viridiplantae; Streptophyta; Magnoliopsida; Zingiberales; Musaceae.
GCCUCUCAAUCUUCAUGGCUACAUUCACCAUAUCUUCAAUCUCCACAUAAUGUUGCAAUUCUACAAGAUCAGCAAUGUUCUUGUUUAAUCCACUCAGGAAUCAAGCCAUGGUGGCCUCACGAUCUUCAUCCACAUUAGCCCUUAUCAUGGUUAUCUCCAUCUCCUUGUGAUACUCAUCAACACUCAUGGAACCUUGUGUCAAGGUUUGCAGCCGUUGAUGCAAAUCACUAUAGUAAUAGCUAGGGACAAAUCUCCUCCUCAUGAUUUGUUUCAUCUCCAACCAAGUCUCCAUGGGCCUUUCACCAUUUCUACGCCUGUCUUUAUACAAUUGAUCCCAUCAAACAAUAGCAUAAUCAAAAAAUUCAACAGCGGCUAAUUUUACCUUUUUCUCUUCAGAGUAGUUGUGACAUUCAAAUAUCAUCUCCACUUUUCGUUCCCACUCCAAAUAGGCAUCUGGAUUAUUCUUCCCUUGAAAAGAAGGA